Molecule: ribosomal RNA, 236 nt
Filed under: uncultured bacterium
Lineage: Bacteria
Description: partial 16S ribosomal RNA
Rfam family: Bacterial small subunit ribosomal RNA
Source: RNAcentral
UUGUCCGGAUUCAUUGGGCGUAAAGAGCUCGUAGGCGGCCACUCAAGUCGAAUGUGAAACCUCGAGGCUUAACCUCGAGCCUGCAUUCGAUACUGGGCGGCUAGAGUCUGGUAGGGGGAUCUGGAAUUCCUGGUGUAGCGGUGGAAUGCGCAGAUAUCAGGAGGAACACCGGUAGCGAAGGCGGGAUCCGGGGCCAGUACUGACGCUGAGGACCGAAAGCGUGGGGAGCAAACAGG